Dermacentor albipictus is the source of this 788-nucleotide long non-coding RNA. RefSeq lists it as uncharacterized. The record is from RefSeq and is a predicted model, not a curated record. NCBI's taxonomy places the organism in Eukaryota, Metazoa, Arthropoda, Arachnida, Ixodida, Ixodidae.
AAUGCCCGCCUGCACGCCUUGCAAACAAGCAGCAGUGGCUAUUUAUCCUCGUCUACCACAAGAAGUACUCGCGCUAAGCAUACUUAACACAUUAAAGAAUACAAACUUCACUGGGGUAAUUUGAGGCAUUCAUUUUUCUUUCCGAGGACGGUAAGGGAAUGGAAGGUGUUCUCCAAUGAUCUUGAGUACAGCCCGUUCGCCGUAUGCUUCCUCUGUGAGCUAUCUGAUUAGAUUAACUGUUCCUGAAAGGCUUCACUGUAAGGCCCAUUGUUAUGCGGGCAGACUGAUCUAGUUCAUCGAUUCCCAAAGUGGGCCACUUUCGCACCAAGCCUGCGGCGCCAGGAGUUCAUUAAUGACUGGCCGCCGGCCAAAGCCCCUGUCCGAAAGCCUGGGAGUAAAGGCAUCAACCUGCCUCGCCUGGUACCGGGCGCUUGUCUACACUCAAGUACUACGGAGCAAGAAAUUGUCACGGACAUACUUCAAUACAACACGCGUUCGCUAAGAGUAUGCAAAUACACAGGCAAAAGCUGCGAUAAGAAAUGUGAAAGCAAUAAAUAACAGUCAAGGAGACAUACAUCAACAGCGACAUACACCGCUAUGGCGUGGCUAAACUAGGAAACAACAUGCUAUUACUAAGAUGUGUGCACAAACAGAGGCAAUGGUACAUAAAGGUGAGAAUAAUAACACAUAAGACCUGAAAGCAUCUGAGUUUGCGUACGUAACAGUAAGUACAUUUUGAAAAUUGUUUUAAACACUUCGAUGGUAUUGACAUAAUGUUCUUGGGGAAA